GUGCUCACUUCGGCAGCACGUAUACUAAAAUUGGAACUAUACAGAGAAGAUUAGCAUGGCCCCUGGGAUGACACGCAAAUUCGUGAAGCGUUCCAUAUUUAA
Molecule: small nuclear RNA, 102 nt
Organism: Nycticebus coucang (slow loris)
Lineage: Eukaryota; Metazoa; Chordata; Mammalia; Primates; Lorisidae
Source: RefSeq, a predicted model, not a curated record